CAGCCGCCGCGGUAAUACGAAGGGGGCUAGCGUUGCUCGGAAUGACUGGGCGUAAAGGGCGCGUAGGCGGAUUGUUUAGUUAGGCGUGAAAUUCCUGGGCUUAACCUGGGGACUGCGCUUAAUACAGGCAGUCUAGAGUGAGGAAGAGGGUUGUAGAAUUCCCAGUGUAGAGGUGAAAUUCGUAGAUAUUGGGAAGAACACCGGUGGCGAAGGCGGCAACCUGGUCCUUGACUGACGCUGAGGCGCGAAAGCGUGGGGAGCAAACAGGAUUAGAUACCCCGGUAGUCCCUGUCUCUUAUAU
This 301-nucleotide ribosomal RNA is filed under the name uncultured bacterium. RNAcentral's name for it is "partial 16S ribosomal RNA". It matches the Rfam family "Bacterial small subunit ribosomal RNA", at positions 509 to 809 of the family's 1533-position model. The record is from RNAcentral.